AUGGCGGUUCUUAAUGAAUACAAGGGUCCAAAAAGUCAUUGAAGAUUAAGCUGAAGCUGGCCAAGAAGCUUCGCCAGAACCAGCCGAUCCCACAGUGGAUUCGGUCACGGACUGGCAAUACAAUCAGGUACAACGCGAAGAGGCGCCACUGGCGUCGCUCCAA
Pollicipes pollicipes is the source of this 163-nucleotide long non-coding RNA. RefSeq lists it as uncharacterized. The transcript has 3 exons. NCBI's taxonomy places the organism in Eukaryota, Metazoa, Arthropoda, Thecostraca, Pollicipedomorpha, Pollicipedidae. The record is from RefSeq and is a predicted model, not a curated record.